UGCAACUUUUGGCCCAAAGGUUUGAAUAAUUAAAUUCAAACUUAUAGUUUUUUUUAAUAUAAUUUUGGGACUCACAAUCCCAUUUUUAUAUUAUUUUUCUCUCUUCCUCUCACGUUGCUCGGCGUUUUCUCGCAAGGGGAGAUUAUUUUCUUUUUCUUCAGAUUAUAUUGACAAAGAUAGUGGUGAAAAAGGAGUUGUGAAGGGGAACUUGUUAUUCAAGACACAAGGAGCGAGUCCGGCCGAGAAAGCAUCAGAGGUGUAAUUAUGGUGUAUGAGACACCAUCUUUUACGUUGCCUCUUAUUUUGGAUUAUACAAUGUAUCUUGUGCCAACUUAGGACAUAUCUUCUUUGUGGAGCAUGUAAACUCUAAUCCUUUUUAUUAAAUGCAUUUAUAUG
This is a long non-coding RNA of Prosopis cineraria, 396 nucleotides long. RefSeq lists it as uncharacterized. NCBI's taxonomy places the organism in Eukaryota, Viridiplantae, Streptophyta, Magnoliopsida, Fabales, Fabaceae. The record is from RefSeq and is a predicted model, not a curated record. The transcript has 3 exons.